Molecule: small nucleolar RNA, 87 nt
Organism: Tripterygium wilfordii
Lineage: Eukaryota; Viridiplantae; Streptophyta; Magnoliopsida; Celastrales; Celastraceae
Source: RefSeq, a predicted model, not a curated record
GAGCAGAUGAUGAAAGAAGUAAACGAAUGCAACUUCUGAUGAAUCCAUGAAGAUUCAAAAAAUCGAGCUUUUUAAAACUGAUGCUCA